AGAUGUGAGGGCAAUCUGACUGCGACAUUUGUCACCCUAUUGCCCACCAGAGUUGACUUGGCUGAUCUGGCUGUCUAGAGGUGUGUCCCCUUCCUCCCUCCUCACUCCACGAGUGUCCCUCCUGAACCUGCACUUUCGGUCAAAGAGGGUGAGCUUCCUGGAAUAGAGGAGGACCGUUCUUUGGUCAAGGGUACACGAGUAGCUGUGUCCCCUGCUAGAACCUUCAAACAAGCCCACAAAAAGAUGUGAAGCAAGUUUAUAAAGUGUUAAAUUUCAAGAAAGCUUGGCGGUAGGUACAAAGAUAUUUGUUCUAUUAGUC
RNAcentral lists this small nuclear RNA (319 nucleotides) under Jaculus jaculus (lesser Egyptian jerboa). RNAcentral describes it as "7SK RNA (ENSJJAG00000004453.1)". The stretch from base 1 to 285 matches the Rfam family "7SK RNA". Rfam says of the family: 7SK was discovered as an abundant small nuclear RNA in the mid-70s but a possible function has only recently been suggested. Two independent studies have found that 7SK RNA binds the CDK9/cyclin T complex (known as elongation factor P-TEFb). P-TEFb activates transcription by phosphorylating the C-terminal domain of RNA polymerase II. The record is from Rfam by way of RNAcentral. Lineage: Eukaryota; Metazoa; Chordata; Mammalia; Rodentia; Dipodidae.